Molecule: long non-coding RNA, 615 nt
Filed under: Jatropha curcas
Lineage: Eukaryota; Viridiplantae; Streptophyta; Magnoliopsida; Malpighiales; Euphorbiaceae
Description: long non-coding RNA (JCUR_LNC001635)
Source: RNAcentral
CACCAACAAACACCUUAAUAUUAUUUCAUAAAACCACUAUAACGCAUUACAGAACAAUUAAAAACUAAACAGAUGAACUCCCAAGUUUACUAUAGCAUAAUCACCCCAGUAAUUAACAGUAUGCACAAAACUAACACAGCUCACACAAUAGAAAAUGUACGUUUUGAAGCACACACAUCAUUCUCCUUAUUGUUUAGUUUCCUGGAAAAUUACCAGGAUGGAUCUUGUUGCUGCUUACUUUACUUGAAGAAGAAGAAGAAGAAGAAGAAGAGACUUUCCUCUCUGCGGUGGAAAUAUUUCGUCCGGUUUUAUUUCUUUCCUCUUCUGCUUUCUUCAGUUUCUCCUUUUCCCUCUCUCUCAUCACAUAUACUGCAGCACAGGCAGCUCCAAUGGAAGACAUGGCUUGAAUGCUAAUUAGAAUCACUCAAAAACCCAAAUCUAUAUUUGUGUUAAAUGUGUAUAUGGUGACAUUAGUAGGAGAGGGUUCGAGGGAAUUUAUAGAACUUGAUAAUUAAGGAGUUGGUGAGUGAUAAGUAAGGUUUGUAUGUACAUUAAUUUUAAUAAUUAAUUAGUGCUUGCAUGUUUAUUUAUGCAUCAUAUCUGACAAACUUGGCA